CCUCGGAUCAGGUAGGGAUACCCGCUGAACUUAAGCAUAUCAAUAAGCGGAGGAAAAGAAACCAACAGGGAUUACCUCAGUAACGGCGAGUGAAGCGGUAACAGCUCAAAUUUGAANUCGGGCUCCUUCGGGGCCCGAGUUGUAAUUUGUAGAAGAUGCUUUGGGCGUGGCUCCGGUCUAAGUUCCUUGGAACAGGACGUCAUAGAGGGUGAGAAUCCCGUACGUGACUGGGUGCCUUCGCCCGUGUAAAGCUCUUUCGACGAGUCGAGUUGUUUGGGAAUGCAGCUCAAAAUGGGUGGUAAAUUUCAUCUAAAGCUAAAUAUUGGCCAGAGACCGAUAGCGCACAAGUAGAGUGAUCGAAAGAUGAAAAGCACUUUGGAAAGAGAGUUAAACAGUACGUGAAAUUGUUGAAAGGGAAGCGCUUGCAAUCAGACUUGCGUGCGGUUGAUCAUCCGAGCUUCUGCCCGGUGCACUCGAUCGUACUCAGGCCAGCAUCGGUUUGGGCGGUUGGAUAAAGGCCUUGGGAAUGUGGCUCCUCUCGGGGAGUGUUAGAGCCCUCGGUGCCAUGCAGCCUGUCCGGACCGAGGACCGCGCUUCGGCUAGGAUGCUGGCGUAAUGGUUGUAAGCGACC
Molecule: ribosomal RNA, 631 nt
Filed under: uncultured fungus
Lineage: Eukaryota; Fungi
Description: eukaryotic LSU rRNA
Rfam family: Eukaryotic large subunit ribosomal RNA
Source: RNAcentral